GUUUCAGUCAGACUCACUGGGACGACCUGCCUGCAGAAAGGAGCUACUCACUUUGGGUCUCCUGAGAGCUGUUCUUUCAGUAAAGCUCCCCUCCACCUUGCUCACCCUCCAGUUGUCCUCAGUAUAACCUGAUUUUUCCUGGAUGGGGGACGAGAACUCAGGACCUGCCAAACAGCGGGAGCGAAAGGAGCUGUAACACGCUGGCCGGCUCACAGGGUUGCCGGUGGUCAAACGCUCCCUGACUGUGGGAGUGAAGAGUGGCGACCCUCCUUGGGGGCCCAGAACUCGGGAUUCCCUGGGCCAGACCUGCUGUGACACUAAUCCCCUCCAUCUAUGCCGGGUGGCCGCCCCACGUAACAGGAAGCAGCACCAGGGCCAGUUUCCAUGAACCAGAGUAGGGCGGAGAGACUGAAAGCUGUCACACAAAUGGACCGAAUCACAUCCCACCCCCGAAAUUGCCCCCUCGCUUGUGCUGCAGAAGAACAGAAAGAGAGAAGAGCUGCAGCCUUUCUGGGAGCACAGACCUCAGGGCUCCCCGAACCAGGGCUGAGACACGCCUCUUUUGGGCUCUGCAAUUUCUGGCAUCUCUGAGCUUUUGGGCAUUACCACGCUUAUGACCCCAGUGGAAGCCUCUUGCAGUACACGGUGCCGGUACCUGCGCAGGCACCUGGAGCUGCCCAUCCCGCUGCAGUAGCCGAUGUGCCUGGAUUUGUGGAACCAGAUAAUUUUCUGCCUCAGCCGCUUGCUCCCUCACACAGCCCUCGCUGCCCCACUCCUAGCUGGCCCUUGGCAGGCGUGGGAUCUGGGCUGGUAGCCCAAGCUGAGUACAGCCUGCUGGGCUGAGUGGGCAGAACAAGAUCAACAGAUAAGCAACAACAUUAAAAAAGAAUUCUGAGCAUCAUAACAUCCCAGAACAUUCAUGCAGGAUUGCUGAUGGAAUUUGAAGCUGCCUAUU
RNAcentral lists this long non-coding RNA (955 nucleotides) under Homo sapiens (human). RNAcentral's name for it is "HSALNT0147917". Lineage: Eukaryota; Metazoa; Chordata; Mammalia; Primates; Hominidae. The record is from RNAcentral.